RNAcentral lists this ribosomal RNA (702 nucleotides) under uncultured bacterium. RNAcentral describes it as "bacterial SSU rRNA". It matches the Rfam family "Bacterial small subunit ribosomal RNA", at positions 1 to 695 of the family's 1533-position model. The record is from RNAcentral.
UUAGAGUUUGAUCAUGGCUCAGAUUGAACGCUGGCGGCAGGCCUAACACAUGCAAGUCGAGCGGAAGCGGGAAAGUAGCUUGCUACUUUUGCCGGCGAGCGGCGGACGGGUGAGUAAUGCCUGGGGAUCUGCCCAGUCGAGGGGGAUAACAGUUGGAAACGACUGCUAAUACCGCAUACGCCCUACGGGGGAAAGGAGGGGACCUUCGGGCCUUUCGCGAUUGGAUGAACCCAGGUGGGAUUAGCUAGUUGGUGGGGUAAUGGCUCACCAAGGCGACGAUCCCUAGCUGGUCUGAGAGGAUGAUCAGCCAUGCUGGAACUGAGACACGGUCCAGACUCCUACGGGAGGCAGCAGUGGGGAAUAUUGCACAAUGGGGGAAACCCUGAUGCAGCCAUGCCGCGUGUGUGAAGAAGGCCUUCGGGUUGUAAAGCACUUUCAGCGAGGAGGAAAGGUUGGCGCCUAAUACGUGUCAACUGUGACGUUACUCGCAGAAGAAGCACCGGCUAACUCCGUGCCAGCAGCCGCGGUAAUACGGAGGGUGCAAGCGUUAAUCGGAAUUACUGGGCGUAAAGCGCACGCACGCGGUUGGAUAAGUUAGAUGUGAAAGCCCCGGGCUCAACCUGGGAAUUGCAUUUAAAACUGUCCAGCUAGAGUCUUGUAGAGGGGGGUAGAAUUCCAGGUGUAGCGGUGAAAUGCGUAGAG